GGAUGUGAGAGCAAUCUGGCUGCUACAUCUGUCACCCCAUUGAUCACCAGUGUUGUUUCCUUUCAGCUGAUUUGGCUGCCUAGGGGGGUGUCCCCUUACUCCCUCACUGAUCCACUUGAGUCCCUCCCAAAGCUGUGCACUGGGUCAAAGGGGACGACCUUCCCUGAAUAGAGGAGGACAGUUUUCAUUCAAGGGUAUAAGAGUAGCUGUGCUCCCCUGCUAGAAACUCCAACAAACACUCAAGGUACAAAAGAUUUUUUAAAUUCAAUUUAUUGAUUUAUCUACACCCUGACAAGAGCUUUCCCCCUGU
This is an unclassified non-coding RNA of Cricetulus griseus (Chinese hamster), 310 nucleotides long. Its record names the gene 7SK. It matches the Rfam family "7SK RNA". Rfam says of the family: 7SK was discovered as an abundant small nuclear RNA in the mid-70s but a possible function has only recently been suggested. Two independent studies have found that 7SK RNA binds the CDK9/cyclin T complex (known as elongation factor P-TEFb). Lineage: Eukaryota; Metazoa; Chordata; Mammalia; Rodentia; Cricetidae. The record is from Ensembl.